UUGGAAUCCUACUGGGCCUGAUCUGUUUUCCAUUGCCAAGGCACUGCUGUUUAAGCUAUACCAUAUGAAGCACCCUCCCUAAAGGCUCAGGGGCCAUAGUGAAAGAGGACACAUGGGAUUGUAAGAGCCAGAUUAUGGGGGUGGAGGGUAAAGGCUGAAGCAAGUCCAUCUUGGAUGCUAACUCACUAUGUUAGCUUCUGAUUAACCCCAGUUCCAGGAAGGCUGCUGAAAUUUCCAGUUUAUGUGUUGUUCCUUGUGUAAGAGCAUGGACUUACUGCAAAUCCUGCCCUUAGGGCAAAUUCCUACCUAUUCCUGCGGAAGCAUGUGUAUCAUUCCCCUAUGGUUUAUAACCCCUGAGUCUGGGGGUAAUGGCACGGGGACCCACCAGCUUGUCUGCCGCCAUCUGGGUUUUUUGAGAUGAAGUCUCGUUCUUGUCCCCCAGGCUGGAGUGCAAUGGCAUGAUCUCAGCUCACUGCAACCUCUGCCUCCCGGGUUCAAGCAAUUCUCCUGUCUCAGCCUCCUGAGUAGCUGGAUUACAGAGUCUUUUCUAAGGCACCAACUACUUCCUUCAAGCAGCAGCCAGAGAUCUUUGCUUAAUGGCUGAGAAACACAGAGGAGAGACCCAGAGAGAAGGAGAAGGCCGCAUGAAGAUGGAGCAGAGACUGGAGUUAUUCAGCCAAGUCAAGGAAUGCCUGGAGCACCAGAAGCCGGAAGAGGCAAGGAAGGAUCCUCCCUUAGAGCAUUUGGAAGAGUGUGGCCCUGCCAACACCUUGACUUCAAACUUCUGGCCUCCAUAACUAUGAAAUAAAUUCUUGUUGUUUUAAGCCACCAAGUUUGUGGUAACUUCUUACAGCAACCCUAGGAAAUUAACACACAGAGUGUCAGUUACCUAAACAUUGUGAGCCUCAGUUACCUUAUCUGAAAAUGGGGCUAAAACUUAGACCUACCUUUUAGGGCUGCUUUAAGGAGUAAUAGAAAUUAUACAUGGGAAUUACAUGGCACCAAGUUGUUCCUUAAUAGAGGGAAACUGUUAUGAUGGCG
Molecule: long non-coding RNA, 1041 nt
Filed under: Homo sapiens (human)
Lineage: Eukaryota; Metazoa; Chordata; Mammalia; Primates; Hominidae
Description: HSALNT0292938
Source: RNAcentral